This 520-nucleotide ribosomal RNA is filed under the name uncultured Glomus. RNAcentral's name for it is "SSU rRNA". It matches the Rfam family "Eukaryotic small subunit ribosomal RNA", at positions 569 to 1089 of the family's 1831-position model. The record is from RNAcentral. Lineage: Eukaryota; Fungi; Glomeromycota; Glomeromycetes; Glomerales; Glomeraceae.
AGCAGCCGCGGUAAUUCCAGCUCCAAUAGCGUAUAUUAAAGUUGUUGCAGUUAAAAAGCUCGUAGUUGAAUUUCGAGACCGGUUUACUGGUCGUGCUUUUGUACGUACUGGUAUUAUUGGUUUCUCCUUUCUGACGAAUCUUAAUGCCAUUAAUUUGGUGUUUUGGGGAAUCAGGACUGUUACUUUGAAAAAAUUAGAGUGUUUAAAGCAGGCUCGCGCUUGAAUACAUUAGCAUGGAAUAACGAAAUAGGACGUUUGAUUUUAUUUUGUUGGUUUCUAGGAUCGACGUAAUGAUUAAUAGGGAUAGUUGGGGGCAUUAGUAUUCAAUUGUCAGAGGUGAAAUUCUUGGAUUUAUUGAAGACUAACUACUGCGAAAGCAUUUGCCAAGGAUGUUUUCAUUAAUCAAGAACGAAAGUUAGGGGAUCGAAGACGAUCAGAUACCGUCGUAGUCUUAACCAUAAACUAUGCCGACUAGGGAUCGGGAUGAUGUUAAUUUUUUAAUGUACUCAUUCGGCGCCUU